GGGUUGUGAGGUUAAGCGACUAAGCGUACACGGUGGAUGCCCUGGCAGUCAGAGGCGAUGAAGGACGUGCUAAUCUGCGAUAAGCGUCGGUGAGGUGAUAUGAACCGUUAUAACCGGCGAUUUCCGAAUGGGGAAACCCAGUGUGUUUCGACACACUAUCAUUAACUGAAUCCAUAGGUUAAUGAGGCGAACCGGGGGAACUGAAACAUCUAAGUACCCCGAGGAAAAGACAUCAACCGAGAUUCCCCCAGUAGCGGCGAGCGAACGGGGAGGAGCCCAGAGCCUGAAUCAGUGUGUGUGUUAGUGGAAGCGUCUGGAAAGGCGCGCGAUACAGGGUGAGAGCCCCGUACACAAAAAUGCACAUAUUGUGAGCUCGAUGAGUAGGGCGGGACACGUGGUAUCCUGUCUGAAUAUGGGGGGACCAUCCUCCAAGGCUAAAUACUCCUGACUGACCGAUAGUGAACCAGUACCGUGAGGGAAAGGCGAAAAGAACCCCGGCGAGGGGAGUGAAAAAGAACCUGAAACCGUGUACGUACAAGCAGUGGGAGCCUCUUUAUGGGGUGACUGCGUACCUUUUGUAUAAUGGGUCAGCGACUUAUAUUCUGUAGCAAGGUUAACCGAAUAGGGGAGCCGAAGGGAAACCGAGUCUUAACUGGGCGUUAAGUUGCAGGGUAUAGACCCGAAACCCGGUGAUCUAGCCAUGGGCAGGUUGAAGGUUGGGUAACACUAACUGGAGGACCGAACCGACUAAUGUUGAAAAAUUAGCGGAUGACUUGUGGCUGGGGGUGAAAGGCCAAUCAAACCGGGAGAUAGCUGGUUCUCCCCGAAAGCUAUUUAGGUAGCGCCUCGUGAAUUCAUCUCCGGGGGUAGAGCACUGUUUCGGCAAGGGGGUCAUCCCGACUUACCAACCCGAUGCAAACUGCGAAUACCGGAGAAUGUUAUCACGGGAGACACACGGCGGGUGCUAACGUCCGUCGUGAAGAGGGAAACAACCCAGACCGCCAGCUAAGGUCCCAAAGUCAUGGUUAAGUGGGAAACGAUGUGGGAAGGCCCAGACAGCCAGGAUGUUGGCUUAGAAGCAGCCAUCAUUUAAAGAAAGCGUAAUAGCUCACUGGUCGAGUCGGCCUGCGCGGAAGAUGUAACGGGGCUAAACCAUGCACCGAAGCUGCGGCAGCGACACUAUGUGUUGUUGGGUAGGGGAGCGUUCUGUAAGCCUGUGAAGGUGGCCUGUGAGGGUUGCUGGAGGUAUCAGAAGUGCGAAUGCUGACAUAAGUAACGAUAAAGCGGGUGAAAAGCCCGCUCGCCGGAAGACCAAGGGUUCCUGUCCAACGUUAAUCGGGGCAGGGUGAGUCGACCCCUAAGGCGAGGCCGAAAGGCGUAGUCGAUGGGAAACAGGUUAAUAUUCCUGUACUUGGUGUUACUGCGAAGGGGGGACGGAGAAGGCUAUGUUGGCCGGGCGACGGUUGUCCCGGUUUAAGCGUGUAGGCUGGUUUUCCAGGCAAAUCCGGAAAACCAAGGCUGAGGCGUGAUGACGAGGCACUACGGUGCUGAAGCGACAAAUGCCCUGCUUCCAGGAAAAGCCUCUAAGCAUCAGGUAACAUCAAAUCGUACCCCAAACCGACACAGGUGGUCAGGUAGAGAAUACCAAGGCGCUUGAGAGAACUCGGGUGAAGGAACUAGGCAAAAUGGUGCCGUAACUUCGGGAGAAGGCACGCUGAUAUGUAGGUGAAGCGACUUGCUCGUGGAGCUGAAAUCAGUCGAAGAUACCAGCUGGCUGCAACUGUUUAUUAAAAACACAGCACUGUGCAAACACGAAAGUGGACGUAUACGGUGUGACGCCUGCCCGGUGCCGGAAGGUUAAUUGAUGGGGUUAGCGGUAACGCGAAGCUCUUGAUCGAAGCCCCGGUAAACGGCGGCCGUAACUAUAACGGUCCUAAGGUAGCGAAAUUCCUUGUCGGGUAAGUUCCGACCUGCACGAAUGGCGUAAUGAUGGCCAGGCUGUCUCCACCCGAGACUCAGUGAAAUUGAACUCGCUGUGAAGAUGCAGUGUACCCGCGGCAAGACGGAAAGACCCCGUGAACCUUUACUAUAGCUUGACACUGAACAUUGAGCCUUGAUGUGUAGGAUAGGUGGGAGGCUUUGAAGUGUGGACGCCAGUCUGCAUGGAGCCGACCUUGAAAUACCACCCUUUAAUGUUUGAUGUUCUAACGUUGGCCCGUAAUCCGGGUUGCGGACAGUGUCUGGUGGGUAGUUUGACUGGGGCGGUCUCCUCCUAAAGAGUAACGGAGGAGCACGAAGGUUGGCUAAUCCUGGUCGGACAUCAGGAGGUUAGUGCAAUGGCAUAAGCCAGCUUGACUGCGAGCGUGACGGCGCGAGCAGGUGCGAAAGCAGGUCAUAGUGAUCCGGUGGUUCUGAAUGGAAGGGCCAUCGCUCAACGGAUAAAAGGUACUCCGGGGAUAACAGGCUGAUACCGCCCAAGAGUUCAUAUCGACGGCGGUGUUUGGCACCUCGAUGUCGGCUCAUCACAUCCUGGGGCUGAAGUAGGUCCCAAGGGUAUGGCUGUUCGCCAUUUAAAGUGGUACGCGAGCUGGGUUUAGAACGUCGUGAGACAGUUCGGUCCCUAUCUGCCGUGGGCGCUGGAGAACUGAGGGGGGCUGCUCCUAGUACGAGAGGACCGGAGUGGACGCAUCACUGGUGUUCGGGUUGUCAUGCCAAUGGCACUGCCCGGUAGCUAAAUGCGGAAGAGAUAAGUGCUGAAAGCAUCUAAGCACGAAACUUGCCCCGAGAUGAGUUCUCCCUGAGACUUAGAGUCUCCUGAAGGAACGUUGAAGACGACGACGUUGAUAGGCCGGGUGUGUAAGCGCAGCGAUGCGUUGAGCUAACCGGUACUAAUGAACCGUGAGGCUUAACCUUACAACGCCGAAG
RNAcentral lists this ribosomal RNA (2925 nucleotides) under Escherichia coli. RNAcentral's name for it is "bacterial LSU rRNA". It matches the Rfam family "Bacterial large subunit ribosomal RNA". The record is from RNAcentral. Lineage: Bacteria; Pseudomonadati; Pseudomonadota; Gammaproteobacteria; Enterobacterales; Enterobacteriaceae.